Long non-coding RNA from Chelonia mydas (Green sea turtle), 142 nucleotides. RefSeq lists it as uncharacterized. The record is from RefSeq and is a predicted model, not a curated record. Lineage: Eukaryota; Metazoa; Chordata; Testudines; Cheloniidae. The transcript has 3 exons.
AAAUUCUAAUUUAAACAGUGACAAAUCUGAGGAAUUAUCACAGAUUGAAGUGAAACUAGAGGACGUUUUGGAAUUAAUUGAGAAACUUAACAGUAACGAGUCACCGGGACCAGAUGGCAUCCACCCAAGAGUUCUGAAAGAA